GGAUUAAAAAUUAUUUGUAUGGGACAUCAAAAAAGAAAAAAAAGUGUGUAAAAGUGCGUUUAACCAGUUGUUGUUGACGAUUUAAUUAAAUAAACAAAAGAAGAUAAAAUGUGACAGAUUGAGAUGAAAAGAGAGGGAGAGAGAGAAAACAAGAGAGCGAUAGAAAGAGAUGGAUUGAAGAAAGAGAUAGAUAUGAAAAAGAAUGCGUAUUACAACAAAAUUGUAUUGGCGCGGGGAAUGUGCAACAAAGUGUGAUACACAACAAUUCAAAUUGACUGCAAAAUAAAAAAAAAAAAUUAUCAAACUUUUAUAGUGACAAAUUGAAUGUAAAAAUUAAAUUAAUUAAAAAUUUAGUGAAAAAAAAACAAGAAGAAGAAAACAAAAUUAUUUGUCGCAUACGCUCUACUUUGCAUGGAUAAUAGAAAAAAAAAAAUAGAAAAAUCGUACAAAGUGAUAAAAUGCACAUACAGACACACAUUCAAAACAAGGUAUAAAGCUGGGAACAAGCCAAACAAAAACAUGAUAUAUUCCGAAGGACGACGACGAUUGCAUUGUUGCAUUAUUGUCAUCACCGUGUCGUUCCAAAGUCUUCACUUUCUUUCUAUCUUUAUUUUUACAAAAGAAGAUAAGCGAUGAUAAAGAAGAUGACGAUGAUAAUGAUGAUUUCGAUAUAAGAUGAAAAAAAAAGUGCUUUUGACGAAGAAAAAAGACAAACAAGAAACAAUUUGACGAAGAAAAAAUCAACACACUAUCACUUUGAAUAUGUGUGUACUGACAUGAAGGUACUUUCAACUGGUUCAAGAUGUGCUGCGAUAGGACACCGCACCACCAUCAGGGUGUAAGGACUCGUUUUUUUUGCAUACUAAACCAGGACUACUGUACUUGUACCUAUAAUGGUACUGAGUUGGGAUUCGUAUUCGCAUCCGGGCAAUGGAGGAUAAAACAUUAGACUCAAAUAAAUGAUGAUAGAAUUUCUACCGAAAUAUUGGAAAUUUUUUUUUCCGUCGGAAAUAAUUGAUGGAUGAUAUUCAUCUCUGGCAUUCACAUCAACAUCAUCUACAUACAAAACAAACACACACACAAAGACACUUAACCAAAAAGGAUCAAUUCCAGUUGAGUAGAUUUUGGCUAUAGCAAUGUGGCAUGGAUAUGGCGCAUCGCAUCGGGGGCAAAAAUGGCAAUUGUGGAAAUAAUUUGUUUUUAUGAACCAACACACAAAUUCUGGUGAAUUAUUGAUAAAUUUUCCAGUUGAGUAAAUGUGACAGACCUUGUUCGAUGAAUGCGACGCGACUUUGUUGGUCGAUGGUGGUCGACAGUGGUGGUGUCGACCAAAAAAAUUGAACGAAUGAAUAAAAACGAAAAUUAAAUAAAUUCAAAAAAAAAAAAAAAAAAAAAUUAUCCCCUUAUCCUGGUCAAACAGUGUGUGUUCCGGUGUGUUGAGGUUUAUUCUAUUUUUUUUUGUAUAUUUUAAUAUAAUUCAUUUGCCCAUCA
Molecule: long non-coding RNA, 1491 nt
Organism: Episyrphus balteatus (marmalade hoverfly)
Lineage: Eukaryota; Metazoa; Arthropoda; Insecta; Diptera; Syrphidae
Exons: 6
Source: RefSeq, a predicted model, not a curated record